Molecule: ribosomal RNA, 301 nt
Filed under: uncultured bacterium
Lineage: Bacteria
Description: partial 16S ribosomal RNA
Rfam family: Bacterial small subunit ribosomal RNA
Source: RNAcentral
CAGCCGCCACGGUAAUACGUAGGUGGCAAGCGUUGUCCGGAAUUAUUGGGCGUAAAGGGCUCGCAGGCGGUUUCUUAAGUCUGAUGUGAAAGCCCCCGGCUCAACCGGGGAGGGUCAUUGGAAACUGGGAAACUUGAGUGCAGAAGAGGAGAGUGGAAUUCCACGUGUAGCGGUGAAAUGCGCAGAGAUGUGGAGGAACACCAGUGGCGAAGGCGACUCUCUGGUCUGUAACUGACGCUGAGGAGCGAAAGCGUGGGGAGCGAACAGGAUUAGAUACCCCUGUAGUCCCUGUCUCUUAUAC